UUGGUGAUUAAUCAGCAUUGAUAGUCGAUCAGUAACUAUCAGCUAUCAGCUAAAAUCCAUGCUGAUAACCAAGAGCGUAAAGGCCUAAAUAGUUUACACAGACGACUGGUUGUGUUAUCUAGAGGAGCCUAAAUCUAUGAUGCACAUAAAAACCAAUCACAGAUUGAUAAGGAGAACCCUUGUUGUCUGUGGAAGCUCUGAGAGAUCAUGGAUUACAUCAAAACAUUAUCAUAACUUUUGUUCUCAAAGGGAUUGUGUUCCUUUAAAGGGAAACUUCAGCCAUAAAUCAAUAUUUGUCAUAAUUUACUCACCCUCAUGUCCUUCCAAAUCUUUUUCAUUUCUUAAUGAAUCCAGAAAAAAUGAUCGGAGAUUCCAAGAAAAUAUGAAGCAGCACAACCAUUUCACCACUGAUAUUAAGAGAAUCAGAUCAGUAUAUGAGAAUGAUUGCUGAAGAUCAUGUGACACUGAAGACUGGAGUAAUGACUGGAGAAAAUUCAGUUUUUCUGUGUUUGAAGUGUUUUCCUGCAUUUGUUUGUGAGGUUUCUUGUCCUGUGUGUUCUGCCAUGUGUUCAGAAGACUUUAUUGAAGCACAUGCAAGUACCUGUGGGGAAAGAGCUGACGAUAGACCAAACCAAGAUUUCAUCAUAACAGGACAAAAGCAAGACAAGCACAAGAGAUGCAAUUAAGUUUAAUUUAUAGUGACUUUUAUAAUAAAUUUUUGUUUAAUAUUAGAUUAUUUGAGGGAGGGAGCACUGGGAAAAAAUCUGAUGUAUUCAAUUACAGACUUGCAGAAUGACAAUUUCAGGAAGGUUUAUUAUCAUUACAGCUGGGUAAAAAAACACUGAUGUCUCAAUUUUAAUCGAACCAAUCUCAUCUUUAUAAACUGAUUGGUAAAUCCCAAGGAUGGAUCGUCUCUUUACAGCUGAUGAAUGAACAGAACAUUAUAGCACAUCUCUCAUCCAUUAAACCACAAUAGGCUUUGUGCUUUGUUACUUUUGAUAAGAAACAAAUUCUCAGAUUUGAAUUCUGUUCAUCUUAUCUUGAAAUGUAACCAAUAAAUCUGUCUGUGGUGCUCUCUAUCUAAUGCAGUGACGAUCACGCAGUGUGUCUCAGGUCAAGUGAAGCGGCAGCAUGCAGCACACUUGAAAGAUCACGUCUUCCUCUGUUUUUAACACCAGUUACGGGCUACAGCGCCAAAUAAACAUGAAUGAAUGCCAAAGGGUCUGUAAACAGAUACAGGACAAUUUACUGACAUGAAUCCUGUCACAUGUAAUCGCUCAAUCAGUUCAACAACGGACCGGGCGUCUGACCAGUCAGAGCAGAGAGGGCUUGUGGAAAAGACUGAAGAUUUGGAUCACUUCACACUUUUGAAUAUAAACUUGUUGUAGGAAACCUCUAAAACAAUUGUAAAAUAGUAUAUUAGGGGCACUUUAAAAAUGUGAGGUAUUGUCAGUCCAAGUUCAGAGACUGUUAACACAAGUAAGGUUGCAGACAUAGAUGUGUGUGUUUUCUGCAGAAGAAGGGAGCAGCAGUAAGGAGAGCAGGGUUGAAGAUGACAGCGAACAGGUGAUAAAACAAACUGCACUAAAGGAGAUGCAGAACAAGACAAGAUCACCGUCAGCAGUUUCAUGCAG
Molecule: long non-coding RNA, 1634 nt
Organism: Carassius auratus (goldfish)
Lineage: Eukaryota; Metazoa; Chordata; Actinopteri; Cypriniformes; Cyprinidae
Exons: 3
Source: RefSeq, a predicted model, not a curated record